GACCGUUCGACUUCCUCAGAGUUCUUUGACUCGUCUGUCAGCUUGUUCACAUCUUCGGGUCUCAAAGCGUACGCUCAGACUCCACAACAGAACAAGWCCUAGUCAUGGKUCGAUGUUGCGCUUCGCUCGUCGAAACAAACAAAGCUCACACCACAGACACUGAAGUGUCCCACUUUCAUUACGCCUUUGACUUUCAACAGCCAAUGACUUGCGUACACCUUAAACUCCUUGGUCCGUGUUUCAAGACGGGUCAAAUAGGUGAUCGACUAAACACCGAAUUUGAAGUAGAGCAACGACGCCAAACAACUAAAGACAUGAAUGCAAAACGCAUGCAUCGUACAAAUACCUCCUCAAUUGCCCGACGCCAUCACGAAAUACCAACUUCAUUUUACGACCAARCUCAUCCGCCAUCCCGUCGCCUAGGUUUCCAAUCCGAAAAUCGGUCCUCUCGACGACUUUCAAACGGCGAAUUCGAUCGAUCGGCGCACUCUGGCACUGCCGAUUUUAAGACGAAAAAUCGAAAAAGACUUGCAGACUUUACCCAAAAUUCGCCUAAAUUAAUUGAUACGCACUGGAUACGUCGACUCUAUCGCUUCACUAUACGGUUCACGUCUCUGCCUCUCUUUCAAGUGCUUUCACUUCCUCACGUACUGUA
RNAcentral lists this ribosomal RNA (655 nucleotides) under Aphelenchoides sp. G006. RNAcentral's name for it is "partial 28S ribosomal RNA". Lineage: Eukaryota; Metazoa; Nematoda; Chromadorea; Rhabditida; Aphelenchoididae. The record is from RNAcentral.